Molecule: ribosomal RNA, 498 nt
Filed under: uncultured bacterium
Lineage: Bacteria
Description: partial 16S ribosomal RNA
Rfam family: Bacterial small subunit ribosomal RNA
Source: RNAcentral
AGCGAACGCUGGCGGCGUGCCUAACACAUGCAAGUCGAACGUGAAAAGGGAAACCUGAGUAAAGUGGCGUACGGGUGAGUAACGCGUAGGUAAUCUACCCCAGAAUCUGGAAUAACCUGCCGAAAGGCGGGCUAAUACUGGAUAGAGCGAGGGAACUCGUAAGAGAGUUUUUCGGGAAAGGGAGCCCGCAAGGGCCUUCGUUCUGGGAUGAGCCUGCGUCUCAUUAGCUAGUUGGUAAGGUAACGGCUUACCAAGGCGAUGAUGAGUAGCUGGUCUGAGAGGAUGAUCAGCAACACUGGAACUGAAACACGGUCCAGACUCCUACGGGAGGCAGCAGUGGGGAAUCUUGCGCAAUGGACGAAAGUCUGACGCAGCCACGCCGCGUGAGUGAAGAAGGCCUUCGGGUUGUAAAGCUCUGUCGGAUGGGACGAACAUCUUCAUAGUGAAUAGCUAUGAGGACUGACGGUACCAUCAAAGGAAGCACCGGCUAACUCCGUG